GCCUUCGUGGUGUAGUGGUCAGCACGCUUGGCACGUAUUCGAUAGGUUCGUGGUUCGAGUCCCGGCGAAGGCA
Non-coding RNA from Stegodyphus mimosarum, 73 nucleotides. Lineage: Eukaryota; Metazoa; Arthropoda; Arachnida; Araneae; Eresidae. The record is from Rfam.